CAUACGCAUCCAUCAAACCACACCUUGUGCUGCAACAAACAGAAGAAUGAGGACCCUUGGACGUGCUUGCCAUUCAAGUUGGAUUGUUGGAGCAUUUUUAGGUGUUUUCAUUCUUUUGUUUUCAAUGUCUAAAUUUGUUUAUCUUUGCUUUGUGAGCAUGAGGAACUAAACCCCUUUUAGCUAUGGGGGAAUUCGAAACCAUGUUCAUGCUUGCAAUAUGAUUUGAUUACUUUCAGUUGUGAUUCAUAAGUUGUGAAUUCAAUUUACUUAUCCAUUUGAAUUAAAACUGAUUUAUGUAUGUUGGUUGAGAGUGCACGCUUAAUUUUCAUGCAUAAAUCUGAUGCUAGGAUAUAAGGGAGUUUCACCUAAUCGUUAUGAACCUAUAUUCACAAGAAGUGAAGGUUGCUCGUCACAACCGUGUUAAGUAAAUUCUUGGCAUAAGUUUUAUGCAAUUCAUAGUUACAAGUGUUUCGUCAAUGCUUAUGAUUUUCAUAGAACUUAAUGAUUCUUGCUUG
RNAcentral lists this long non-coding RNA (515 nucleotides) under Malus domestica (apple). RNAcentral's name for it is "long non-coding RNA (MDOM_LNC006638)". The record is from RNAcentral. Lineage: Eukaryota; Viridiplantae; Streptophyta; Magnoliopsida; Rosales; Rosaceae.